Molecule: ribosomal RNA, 475 nt
Filed under: uncultured bacterium
Lineage: Bacteria
Description: bacterial SSU rRNA
Rfam family: Bacterial small subunit ribosomal RNA
Source: RNAcentral
AUUGAACGCUGGCGGCAUGCUUUACACAUGCAAGUCGAACGGUAACAGGCCGCAAGGUGCUGACGAGUGGCGAACGGGUGAGUAAUGCAUCGGAACGUGCCCAGUCGUGGGGGAUAACGCAGCGAAAGCUGUGCUAAUACCGCAUACGAUCUAUGGAUGAAAGCGGGGGACCGUAAGGCCUCGCGCGAUUGGAGCGGCCGAUGUCAGAUUAGGUAGUUGGUGGGGUAAAGGCCCACCAAGCCAACGAUCUGUAGCUGGUCUGAGAGGACGACCAGCCACACUGGGACUGAGACACGGCCCAGACUCCUACGGGAGGCAGCAGUGGGGAAUUUUGGACAAUGGGCGCAAGCCUGAUCCAGCAAUGCCGCGUGCAGGAAGAAGGCCUUCGGGUUGUAAACUGCUUUGUUACGGAACGAAACGGUCUGGGUUAAUACCUUGGCGUAAUGACGGUACCGUAAGAAUAAGCACCGGCUAA